Non-coding RNA from Biomphalaria pfeifferi, 1250 nucleotides. The record is from the annotation of a GenBank genome assembly. Lineage: Eukaryota; Metazoa; Mollusca; Gastropoda; Planorbidae.
GAUUUAGUGAUUUUCUUGUUUGAUUUUCUUGGGGUAAGAUAGUUAUCCAGAUUUUGGGAAACUUUAUAAAAAUGUCUUUUUAUAAUUAAUCUCUUUUUUGUUUGGAUUCUUGUUAGGGGUUUGACACAUUUUUCAAUCACAGAUUCAAUGUGUCAAAAGCCAAAGCAAUGCUCUGGUAUAAAACUCUUUUUUUUUUGUUUUGUUAUUCUUGAAAAUCAUUUCCAUUUAUUUCUGGUCUACAUCAUUUUCUGUCUUUACCUAUCUUGCUGCAUUAUUUUUCUAAGGUUAAAGGUCACAUUGAAAAAAAAAAAAAUGAUGUCCUACUUCAAACAAACAUAUGUUAAAAAAAAUAUUAGCAGCCAAUCUGAACAAUAUCUAUCAAAAUAUUACAUCAUUUACAUUAAUGUUUUUGUAUUAUAAAGACUACACCAUAUUGCAAAUCAAAUUACCAAACAAAUUAUACCACCUCCCCAUCUUUUCACUGCUAUUUGAUGUAAGGUUGCUUAUUGUUUCAGUUCUUUCUCUUUCCCUUUCUGUAAAAUAUUCGCCACAUUUUUCUGACCAUGUAAAUAUUAACUAAAAUAUUUAACCUGUAAUACUUUAAGCAUUUUUAUACUACCUAAAUGCCCAUAUUAAAAUACCUUUUUUCUUCAAAAUGGGUAUAAGAUACCUUUUUCUUCAAAAUUGGUGACGAAAAUCCUCUGUAUCUCAAGGAGUCACUGUGUGAGACAGCCAAGGAACCUGAUGUGUCACUAUUGUUCAGUCUGUUCAGCAAAUAUUUCAUGUCCAGUAGUAAAUUCAUUCUAUAAAUGUGUGUGAUGGCUGUAGCUCCUUCAACCUACAAGAAAAGUCAAAGCUUAAAAAGCCUUGCAUAUACACAUAAAUUUGACUCUUAUGGGUUUACAUUCUUGAAGUUUUUUCCUUAAUUCUUAUAGCCCAUAAUUUGAAACAGAGUUGUUUUUUUUUAUCUUUAUCCUUUUCUUAAAUCGCAUAGUGCAUCUCUAAGGUUUGGUGCCUCUGAUGGAGAAUAAAUGUAGAUUCCUUGAAUUUUUUUUUUAUGUAAGUGUCAAUGUUUAUCUAUGAUAUACAUAUUUUAUGUUAUAUCGGAUGCUGACAGCCAUAGUCUUCCUGGGGUCUAUGAGAGUUAUCUUCUUGUUUACUUCAGCUAUAAUGUUUCAGUUCAGGAAGUGGUGAACCUUACCUAGUUGGCAUCACACGAUGCUUGAUUCUGGCAGAUCCUGUGACACUUU